Molecule: long non-coding RNA, 245 nt
Filed under: Physcomitrium patens
Lineage: Eukaryota; Viridiplantae; Streptophyta; Bryopsida; Funariales; Funariaceae
Description: long non-coding RNA (PPAT_LNC015033)
Source: RNAcentral
GUACUUACGAUCUUGUAUCCACUGACUGUCCUUUUAGAUUAACCCAAUAAAUUUCAUUCACUCCGCAUACUCAAUCCUAUAGACACCCUUUUAAUCCUUCAAUCACAGACGUAACUCGAUUUCACAAAACAGUCAAGAGUAUUCAAAUCCACUUCAUUUAAAAAUCCCGAUUCACCAUUACAACACUGACUUCAGCAGCGAUUGCCUCAGUCUUCCCCAAAACUCUACGAAGAAGAAAAAUCCAA